CACAAGCAAGACUGGAGAGUGAGAUGCUUGGGGCAUGAUGUUUUGGGUAGUGACAAGGUUUGCUCAACUUUCAGAGCGGUUUUAGACAGAAAUAUGGUGCCGGCAGGAAAUAUUUGCCUUCUAUGGCAACCCCUAUGCUUCACUGUUGAGAAAUUUUGUUGGGCCGUUCUGUACGACAACUAUUCAAGCAACUUUAGGCUUGUCACUUGUAUUGUACUUACAAAUAUAAACAUAAAAUUGAUAUCUUUUUGCUAGUGGGGUCUCAUUUGUACUUUCAUAUAUAUGUCAAGGUGAUUGAUUUUAGAUUUUAUUAUUAUUAAUAUAUUAUUAUUUGUUGUACGUGUGUGGCUAGAAAGGAUUGAUUUUGGUUGUUGGUAGUGAUGGUUUACUAUGUAUUAAUUUGUUAAACAAGUAAUCAUUUCUUGUCACUCAUGGUAUUAAGCAAGGGGAAUCUUUUCUUGUCACUGAUUUGUGACACCAAGCGAGCAGCAAUAUUUUCAUAUUUCACUCUCUUCUAUAGUUAUAUAUAUAGAGCUUCUAUUAUUUGAGGAAUACCCUUCGAGGGUCCACUCCGUAUUGUAUUUUAUUAAUCCAAACUAUCUAUUUUUUAUAUAAUCAUUCAAAU
RNAcentral lists this long non-coding RNA (625 nucleotides) under Prunus persica (peach). RNAcentral's name for it is "long non-coding RNA (PPER_LNC004176)". The record is from RNAcentral. Lineage: Eukaryota; Viridiplantae; Streptophyta; Magnoliopsida; Rosales; Rosaceae.